Molecule: non-coding RNA, 73 nt
Organism: Stegodyphus mimosarum
Lineage: Eukaryota; Metazoa; Arthropoda; Arachnida; Araneae; Eresidae
Source: Rfam
GCCUUCGUGGUGUAGUGGUCAGUACGCUCGACGCGUAACCGAGAGGUGCAUGGUUCGAUUCCAGGCGAAGGCG